Molecule: ribosomal RNA, 810 nt
Filed under: uncultured bacterium
Lineage: Bacteria
Description: bacterial SSU rRNA
Rfam family: Bacterial small subunit ribosomal RNA
Source: RNAcentral
GUAUAGAACCUACCUUAUAUUGGGGGAUAGCCCAGAGAAAUUUGGAUUAAUACCCCAUAGUAUGCUGAAUUGGCAUCAGUUUAGUAUUAAAGAUUUAUCGAUAUAAGAUGGCUAUGCGUUCUAUUAGCUAGUUGGUAAGGUAACGGCUCACCAAGGCGACGAUAGAUAGGGGUCCUGAGAGGGAGAUCCCCCACACUGGUACUGAGACACGGACCAGACUCCUACGGGAGGCAGCAGUGAGGAAUAUUGGACAAUGGAGGCAACUCUGAUCCAGCCAUGCCGCGUGCAGGAAGACUGCCCUAUGGGUUGUAAACUGCUUUUAUAGAGGAAGAAACCGCUCUACGUGUAGAGCUCUGACGGUACUCUACGAAUAAGGAUCGGCUAACUCCGUGCCAGCAGCCGCGGUAAUACGGAGGAUCCAAGCGUUAUCCGGAAUCAUUGGGUUUAAAGGGUCCGUAGCGGGCUUAUAAGUCAGUGGUGAAAGUUUGCGGCUCAACCGUAAAAUUGCCAUUGAUACUGGUUGUCUUGAAUUAUUGUGAAGUGGUUAGAAUAAGUAGUGUAGCGGUGAAAUGCAUAGAUAUUACUUAGAAUACCAAUUGCGAAGCAGAUCACUAACAAUAUAUUGACGCUGAGGGACGAAAGCGUGGGGAGCGAACAGGAUUAGAUACCCUGGUAGUCCACGCCGUAAACGAUGGAUACUAGCUGUUCGAUUUUCGGAUUGAGUGGCUAAGCGAAAGUGAUAAGUAUCCCACCUGGGGAGUACGUUCGCAAGAAUGAAACUCAAAGGAAUUGACGGGGGCCCGCACAAGC